GCGGACUACUCGGGUAUCUAAUCCUGUUUGCUACCCACGCUUUCGUGCCUCAGCGUCAGAGAUAAGCCAGAAAGCUGCCUUCGCCAUUGGUGUUCCUCCACAUCUCUACGCAUUUCACCGCUACACGUGGAAUUCCACUUUCCUCUCUUAUCCUCAAGUCAACCAGUUUCCAAUCCAAUCCCAUGGUUGAGCCAUGGACUUUCAAAUUAGACUUAAUUGACCGCCUACGCACCCUUUACGCCCAAUAAUUCCGGACAACGCUUGCCACCUACGUAUUACCGCGGCUGCUGGCACA
This 295-nucleotide unclassified non-coding RNA is filed under the name uncultured Mollicutes bacterium. RNAcentral describes it as "contains 16S-23S intergenic spacer region". The record is from RNAcentral. Lineage: Bacteria; Bacillati; Mycoplasmatota; Mollicutes.